GACGAACGCUGGCGGCGUGCUUAACACAUGCAAGUCGAACGAAGAGCGAUGGAAGCUUGCUUCUAUCAAUCUUAGUGGCGAACGGGUGAGUAACGCGUAAUCAACCUGCCCUUCAGAGGGGGACAACAGUUGGAAACGACUGCUAAUACCGCAUACGAUCUAAUCUCGGCAUCGAGGAUAGAUGAAAGGUGGCCUCUACAUGUAAGCUAUCACUGAAGGAGGGGAUUGCGUCUGAUUAGCUAGUUGGAGGGGUAACGGCCCACCAAGGCGAUGAUCAGUAGCCGGUCUGAGAGGAUGAACGGCCACAUUGGGACUGAGACACGGCCCAGACUCCUACGGGAGGCAGCAGUGGGGAAUCUUCCGCAAUGGACGAAAGUCUGACGGAGCAACGCCGCGUGAGUGAUGACGGCCUUCGGGUUGUAAAGCUCUGUUAAUCGGGACGAAAGGCCUUCUUGCGAAUAGUGAGAAGGAUUGACGGUACCGGAAUGGAAAGCCACGGCUAACUACGU
Molecule: ribosomal RNA, 509 nt
Filed under: uncultured bacterium
Lineage: Bacteria
Description: partial 16S ribosomal RNA
Rfam family: Bacterial small subunit ribosomal RNA
Source: RNAcentral